RNAcentral lists this ribosomal RNA (448 nucleotides) under uncultured organism. Its description in RNAcentral is "partial 16S ribosomal RNA". It matches the Rfam family "Bacterial small subunit ribosomal RNA", at positions 333 to 797 of the family's 1533-position model. The record is from RNAcentral.
ACACUCCUACGGGAGGCAGCAGUGGGGAAUAUUGGACAAUGGGCGCAAGCCUGAUCCAGCCAUGCCGCGUGAGUGAUGAAGGCCCUAGGGUUGUAAAGCUCUUUCACCGGUGAAGAUAAUGACGGUAACCGGAGAAGAAGCCCCGGCUAACUUCGUGCCAGCAGCCGCGGUAAUACGAAGGGGGCUAGCGUUGUUCGGAUUUACUGGGCGUAAAGCGCACGUAGGCGGACUAUUAAGUCAGGGGUGAAAUCCCGGGGCUCAACCCCGGAACUGCCUUUGAUACUGGUAGUCUUGAGUUCGAGAGAGGUGAGUGGAAUUCCGAGUGCAGAGGUGAAAUUCGUAGAUAUUCGGAGGAACACCAGUGGCGAAGGCGGCUCACUGGCUCGAUACUGACGCUGAGGUGCGAAAGCGUGGGGAGCAAACAGGAUUAGAAACCCCGGUAGUCCCA